AUUGAACGCUGGCGGCAGGCCUAACACAUGCAAGUCGAGCGGAUGAAGGGAGCUUGCUCCUGGAUUCAGCGGCGGACGGGUGAGUAAUGCCUAGGAAUCUGCCUGGUAGUGGGGGAUAACGUCCGGAAACGGGCGCUAAUACCGCAUACGUCCUGAGGGAGAAAGUGGGGGAUCUUCGGACCUCACGCUAUCAGAUGAGCCUAGGUCGGAUUAGCUAGUUGGUGGGGUAAAGGCCUACCAAGGCGACGAUCCGUAACUGGUCUGAGAGGAUGAUCAGUCACACUGGAACGGAGACACGGUCCAGACUCCUACGGGAGGCAGCAGUGGGGAAUAUUGGACAAUGGGCGAAAGCCUGAUCCAGCCAUGCCGCGUGUGUGACGAAGGUCUUCGGAUUGUAAAGCACUUUAAGUUGGGAGGAAGGGCAGUAAGUUAAUACCUUGCUGUUUUGACGUUACCAACAGAAUAAGCACCGGCUAACUUCGUG
This 484-nucleotide ribosomal RNA is filed under the name uncultured bacterium. RNAcentral describes it as "partial 16S ribosomal RNA". It matches the Rfam family "Bacterial small subunit ribosomal RNA", at positions 30 to 507 of the family's 1533-position model. The record is from RNAcentral.